Molecule: small nucleolar RNA, 140 nt
Filed under: Mola mola (ocean sunfish)
Lineage: Eukaryota; Metazoa; Chordata; Actinopteri; Tetraodontiformes; Molidae
Description: Small nucleolar RNA SNORA1 (ENSMMOG00000011928.1)
Source: RNAcentral
UGCCACAGUGUGCGCUACUCAGUGAGGUUGCCCUGUGCAGUGGGCUGAUCCAUGACAACGGUGGCUAAAAAAACAUCAGGUUUUGCUUUCACCUAAGCACCAUUGGUUGCUGAAUGAUGACAAUGAGACCUGGCACAUUA